GCCCGAGUGUUGGAAUUGGCAUACAAAGUUGACUUAAAAUCAACUGCCCAUGUGGAUUGCGGGUUCAAAUCCCGCCUCGGGCACCA
This 86-nucleotide transfer RNA is filed under the name Lentisphaerota bacterium. RNAcentral describes it as "Lentisphaerae bacterium (feces metagenome) tRNA-Leu". It matches the Rfam family "tRNA". From Rfam's summary of the family: Transfer RNA (tRNA) molecules are approximately 80 nucleotides in length. Their secondary structure includes four short double-helical elements and three loops (D, anti-codon, and T loops). The record is from RNAcentral. Lineage: Bacteria; Pseudomonadati; Lentisphaerota.